RNAcentral lists this transfer RNA (71 nucleotides) under Loxodonta africana (African savanna elephant). It matches the Rfam family "tRNA". Rfam says of the family: Transfer RNA (tRNA) molecules are approximately 80 nucleotides in length. Their secondary structure includes four short double-helical elements and three loops (D, anti-codon, and T loops). Lineage: Eukaryota; Metazoa; Chordata; Mammalia; Proboscidea; Elephantidae. The record is from Rfam by way of RNAcentral.
GCGAUGGUGGUUUAGUGGUAGAAUUCUUGCCUUCCAUGCAAGAGACUUGGGUUCAAUUCCCAGCCAACACA